UACUGUCAAGAGUUAUGUUGGUAGUGUCUCACGUAAACAGAAGAUAAGUGAAUAGCACUGGCAACGUGUUUAAGCUUGCGUUUGUGAAGGUUGGCAUUAUGUAUAAACAUUCUGAGCCUAACACCUCAAUUUAGGUAGAUUUUUAAAGAUAUCUUCCAAGGCAUGAUGCACAGUACCUGCACUGCACGUUUCAAUUGAUUCAAGUCUGCCUGUGAUUCAUUUACAGUGGAUUUAAAAGUAGCUGAAUAUAUACUUGUAAGCUUAUUGCAAGAUACUCACGUUUGAUCCACAUCAGGAUCAAAACCAAUCUUCCUACUUCUGUUGCUCCACUGUACCAUGCACCCUCACAUACCGAAGGCAUGCCUGUAACUGUCUUAUACAAAGACUACUUAUUGAGGCAAAGUACUAUGACUUUUUCUCACUCUAAGCAAAUGUGCUCCUAGUUGUUCUUUUUUUUUUAUUAUUAUUAUUUUUUUUAUUUUUUUUUCCUGAGGAGAGUUUCACCAUUUGACAAAAAUUGACAAUAAACUAGAUUUCUCACUUGCUGUUAUAUGGAAGAGAAAUAAAGGUAUUAGGUAACGGGUGCUUAUAAACAUAAAUGUGAUUGAAGGAGAAUCCAGUUCUAUCAUUUGCAUGAUUGAUAUGCUGCCAUUGAAUUUUUUAAAGUUCCUCAGGCACCUAAAGACAGUUCUAAAAAUUAAAUAACAUUGAAGUAUCCUCUAAAGUAAGUUGUCUUGAUUACUGCCAAUAGGCUUCCCAGUAGUGAUUCUGACAGUGAAAAGCCCAGGAACAAAAUGUUCUCCUUUGAAGUUAAUCCUGGCAUCUUCAUGCACUGUAACUUUCAAACAAAUACAAGUUAAGAUUGAGUAUGAUAAUGCUUUCAUUCUACUUAUGAUUGAUUCUUCUACAAGGCCUGUGUAGCCAUUUUUGGGGACGAAUGAUGUGGCAAGAGUAAACUCGAGACAACAUCUUUCCUUGUGUGUUUUAUACAGAUGAAGUGUGCUUCUAAUGUUUUUUGCUUUUUUGAGUAUGUAUAUUGAUGCACAUACACUUAUUUAUGUCUUAUUCAAUAUCAAGCAGAGCAUCAAUUACAAAUUAAACAUAAAAGAUAAGUUUUGCAUACACAAGAUCGUUGCUGGCUGACUGAUCUGCUAGGCUUGGGUGAGAAGAAAAUAAUUAUUCCCAAGUAGGUAAGAUACAAACAUAUUGCAUCUUUGUAAGAAGAUACUGAAAAGAGUGUAAUUGAACUCCAAACGUGGUGCUGUAGCACUGGGAAAAUUCUGAUGUUUGUUAGUGGCAUUAAAAAUAAAAUUUGUUGUUAAGUGAGAUGUAAAAAUAUUCUGUAUUCAUAUGUUAAAAAGUGACUUGGAGUUCCACUUAUGGACUGUAACUCUUGUGCUGGGCGUUGUACAACAGGAAAGAAAAGGACAGAAGAGAGUACAGUUUUGAUUUGCUUUUGACUUUAUAAAAUUAAAGAUGAAACAGUUGGUGGAUUAUAAUAUUUGUCAGGUCUCACUGACUAGCUCAUGCCAUAUUUAUUGGAUCCUUCUAAUUUUGUGAAAUCAAGUGUAUGAUUAUAACUAAAAUUCUUAAGAAAAACUAAGAAAAAAACCACUUUGUAUUACGCUGUCCAAGAUUUCUGACUUAAUAUAAGUUAUGUGUAUGUCCUGCUGAUCAUACCCGAAGAGAGAACUUGAGUGAGCAGGAUAGACGUGCAGUAGUGAAGUCUGUUUCCUAGGUUUUGCUCUGAUACCAAUUUUCCUACAGAAUCCAAGCCAAAAUCUUCACCUGAGUAUAUAUCAGGUCUUCUAGCCUGGUCCUUUUCCUUCUCCCCCUUGAGUCCCUUUCCUUUCUAUAAUUUGUCCUUUGCACCUUUAACAUCCUUGUGCUCUCUUGGUUUCAACAUAAACCUCUCAGCUUUUGUGAUGGGUAGGAAGUAAUGGUUUUCCUUACAACAACAAUCUCUACAAAUUGCCCACAAAUAAGGAUCUAUCCAAUCUAUUUGUGCACCUGCACGUUUGUGUGCACAUAUGCACAAAUGUGAAUGUUCCAUCAAAUGAAAGAUAUUAACCCUCAACAAAGGUUUUAGAACUACAUUUUGGGCUCUCCAUUAUAUAUUUCUUACUAAACAUUUACUAACAUGGAAGUGCAGUCAAGAUAGAGAAAGGAAUAUUUAGCAGCAAGAAACUCUGUUUUCUUGUUAUUAUCAUAAUGUAUUACCAUCCACAUGGUAAACUGUUUAUAAAGUUAUUGCUCUGGUCAUUUUUUUCAUAGUGGGAAACAGUGGGGAUAGCUAUGAGCAUUGAGUUACUUUUGUGACAGGACAAAUUUGAUGCCAUUGGUGUGGCAUUACUUAGUGUAUGCACCAGCUGAUCAGCUGCAAGCUACUUGGCAGAUCAAGAGACUUUCAGCUUAGAUAAAUGGUUUCACUUGGUUUUUUGACAUUGAUCUGUAGAAACAGUUCUGCUACUGGUUUUUGAUGAAACACAAGCCUCCACUUUGGGAAGCCAGCUGAUACUCUGAAGAGAAGUGAAACAUUUGUUUGUCCAUUAGAAGCAUCGUUGCUCUUUCGCGUAGCUGGGUGAAAGACAAAAAAAAAAGGGAACCCUACAUUGCUGCAGAAAAAUGACAGUUUGGUAUGAAUUCUGCUGCGUAACAUAGGGUAAACAUAGACAGUAGGGUAAAUGCUUGUGUUAAUGUGGCAGCAUAUUUCUCCUGUUUUACUGAUCUUUUUCUGAUUAUUCAUGCCUCUGUCAGCUGGACUUCAGCAAUGAAAUAAAUCUGGGCAGGCAACCGUUAACACAAAGAAAGCUGCAAGUAUACAGAAAACUGCAGAUUUUUAUGGAAGCAUUAAAUUUAUUCUAGAGUAUGUGUAAUGUCCUCUGUGCAGAAUUUCAAGAAAAGAAAUGCUUUCUUGUGCACAGAUAGUGAGUGGCCUGGCUCCAUCACAUACACUACAUCAGUGUCACUUAUGGGCUGAAGACAUGCUUGGCAGCAGUGCUCUGGUGCCUAGUGGAACACUUCCCUCAAAAGAAAGAGUCCCAGGCAGUGAUAAAUGCUUCUCAAUAUCCUCUGCUCGUGGUGGUGUUUUGUUUUAUUUUUUUUUUCUUCUGACUUUCUGUUUUUAAACAUCAGAGCUUCAAUGUAGAACAUUACAACAUUCCUGUGAGGGAACAGUGAAAGAACAUAUAUGUGACAGAUGUUAGUUGUGUUUCUUAGUAUGUUCAUAGAAUCAUAGAAUCACCUAUGUUGGAAAAGACCUCCAAGAUCAUCCAGUCCAACCAUUCACCUACCAGCAAUAUUUUCCUCACUAAACCAGGUCCCUCAGUGCAACAGUGUUACUUGACAAUGCUCUUCAGUAGUGAAGAUGGUGCGGGAACCCAUGUAGAAUGAAAUCUAACUGUUUUGGCCUAUUAAUCAUGCCAUUUUUAGGUACUUCUGAGUUCCAUAACACAUUUUCUUGGUCCAGCCUUCUCACUGGAGAUUUUUCCAUUGCUUCAGUCUCAUUCCUGAUGAUUUGGUGUUUUUUGCCAUGUUCGAUUUACGAAACAUCAGAAGUUUUGCUGUGGAAAUUUAUGCUGUCAUAUGAUUAAUAUCAGCCUGUUAAUACUGUGCUUACAAUUUUCUGGACCUGCUAAGUAUUUAGUGAUUUACCCCACCCUACUCCUGCUGGGUCUGCAACUUUAGUUUGAGAACUCUAUUUUGAAAAAUUAGUCCUGGUCAAUUCCAAGCCAUGCUUUUUAGCAUCGUUGGCAUACAUUCUAGUACAGUAAUAAUCACUGAAAAUUAAUGACUUUUUGAUUGUACUUGAACUGCUUCCAGAUAAGUUAGCAGAAGGAUGCUUCAUAAACAAUCAGGAUUAGGUAUAUUGCCCAUAAAGAAAUGGAGAGCUUUACGUUCAGGCAUUCCCCAAAAUGUUUGCCUUUGCUCCCUGGGUUAUUGCACAUUCAUCAUUUAUGCAUCUAGGGUUACCUAGGAGCUACAGCUUAGUUACUUCUCAUUGCUGAUUUCCUAUACCACUCUCCCAACUGCAAUGACUUGUCUGCUCUUGCUUCAGCAGUAAGCUUCCACAUUCUCUGUCCCAUUACUGAGGCUUACAAAUUGUCCUGGAACUUUCAGUCUUUAUAUAAUCUCAUCAGCUUUGAGACAGUUUCAUCCUUUUUUUCUUUCUCUUUUACAACAGUGCAGAAUGUGUUACUAGGAAAAAUGGACAGUUGCUUCUGGAUGCAUUAACUUCUGAAAAUUCCUUUUGAACACAGACAGGAAGAAUCCUGAAACAGGCUAGAAACUUCUGCAGUGUUCUGCAGAAAGUGGAUAUUUCAUGCAGCAAGCAUGGAUUUGGCUUAGGUGAUGCUUAGGUUCAUCCUUAGGUCUGGGAAGUGAAAAUUAUUCCAACUCAUGGGAUGUGGAUGAUAACGUGGAUGGUACAGCUACACAUGCCCUUCUCAUUUUAAUUCUGUUAUAUAUUCGUAUGUUUUAAAGCGUGAAGUAUAGAGGAUACGUCAGAGCUGACAGUCGGAAUCAAAUUCUCAAAGGGACCUGGAAGAUUUAGAAAUACCACAGUUACCGAAUGCCAUGUCAUAACUUAGGUUGUUUUGGGAUUCUUCCUUUGGAUUCCAUUGGAAGGAGAAAUAAAAGAGUGCUUGGAGUUAUUUCUGAAUUUUGCUUCCAUGUCUUAAAUCAGAAGUUUGUAUUAUUUCAGUCACGUGGAUCCUGUGUGCCCCAAUGCGGAUGCAGUCCUAAGUUGCAGGAUGGCUAGAAGUGGGUUUUUUACAUUGAUGUUCUAAAUGGUUUUAAUUUUAUUUAUUCGUUUUUAAUCUUGUUUUUUUUUUUUCUUCUGUUUUCAAUUAAAGUUUUAAUUUGCAGAGAAGAUGUGUGAUCACAUCAGAGACAGAGCAAGUUGUCAGUGUGUGGGCACGGCUGGCUCAAGAGCUGCAGUCGUCUCCGCGAUGGAUUUUAUGACAAAGCAUUGUUUUACUGGGGAAAAUCUUAAUGCAGAUACGUUUGGCAUUUCUAACCUAAAUAUGCAAAUCUAAGUAUUAUAGGAAUGGUGGAUUAUUUGGGGCAUCGGUGUUGUAACAGUUGACUAGAUUUACUUGGAAGAAAUAGGGUCAGAUUAGUGAAACUGGCCAUCUGGCUUGUGAUUGCUUUUUAGUGGCAUUUUUGUUUCCAGUCUGGAUAAACAAUGAGUUACAGGGCCACAUGGUCCGUGGUAGGAAGCAUGUGUAAAAGAGGGACAUUCUUUGUGGCUGGUUUUCCCUGGAGUAGUUAUGCAUACAGAUACAGUGCUGUGCUUGCUUCUGGCAAAUGAAGUCAUUUUUUAUUCGGAUCUAUUUUAUUUAAACUUCAGGGGUAUGUAAACAAAUAUAUUUUAAAGCUAUGUAAAUACAUCAGAGCUUUGGUUUCAUUUUCCUCCUCUCGUUGGCUUAGGUUUAUCUUCUGUUCAAGGUUAUUCUUCCUUAUGGAAGGAAAUAUUUCUAGAGGAGGACAAACUUCUUGUUAAAUGCUAAUUAAGAAAAUGAAGGUUACAUUGGCAUGCUUCCAUUGUCAUAGCACUGACCUAAGAUAAAGGAUCUCUUAUUAAUCUGAAAUAAAUUAGUCAGAGGGGGAAGCAAGUGAUUCUGUGCAUGUAAAACACUCAAAGUGUCUAUUCCUGCUCUGUUUUUAAAUACCCAUAUUUCUGUUUUGUUGCUGUUACUUGCUAGUUUGUUUUUGUUUUUCCAUCGGUGCAUUGGCUGUGCCAUCGAAUUUUGGAGUGUGCUGCUGCUGUCAAUCAUUGUGCCAUAGGGUCAAUGUGCUGUUAGAAAAGGUGUAGAGUUUCUUUUUUUUCCUUUUUUCUUUUUCUUUUUUUUUUUUUGACAAUUUAAACAGAGAUUUCACCCACUUAUCACUAAAGAUCCCAUGGUAAUUUCCACAAGGUUCUGAGAUUGCUUCACAUUCUGAGAGUCUUGGCCAAAGUCCACUUUGUGUAAUUACCUUCUGUCUACAUAAAUCCCUAAUGCAAUUUUAGAUGUGUUUGGUAUUUUUCACUUCCUGUCCUAAAUAGAGAAAAUAUUGCCACACGCUGCUCAUAAUUACUGUGGGUUGCAUCCUAAGAUCAAAUAAAGAGAUUCCUGUAAA
Tympanuchus pallidicinctus (lesser prairie-chicken) is the source of this 6120-nucleotide long non-coding RNA. RefSeq lists it as uncharacterized. The transcript has 2 exons. The record is from RefSeq and is a predicted model, not a curated record. Lineage: Eukaryota; Metazoa; Chordata; Aves; Galliformes; Phasianidae.